CCUACGGGAGGCAGCAGUGGGGAAUAUUGCGCAAUGGGGGAAACCCUGACGCAGCAACGCCGCGUGAGUGAGGAAGGACUUCGGUCUGUAAAGCUCUGUUAAUGAGGAAAAAUGGUAGUUGGUCUAAUAGGCUGAUUAUUUGAUGGUACUCAUAGAGGAAGCACCGGCUAACUUCGUGCCAGCAGCCGCGGUAAUACGAAGGGUGCAAGCGUUGUUCGGAUUUAUUGGGCGUAAAGCGCGCGUAGGCGGACCCGCAAGUCAGAUGUGAAAUCUCGAGGCUCAACCUCGAAACUGCGUCUGAAACUACUGGUCUAGAAUCUCGGAGGGGGAAGGGGAAUAUCGCAUGUAGGGGUAAAAUCCGUAGAUAUGCGAUGGAACACCAGAGGCGAAGGCGCCUUCCUGGACGAGUAUUGACGCUGAGGCGCGAAAGCGUGGGGAUCGAACAGGAUUAGAUACCCUGGUAGUCCACGCUGUAAACGAUGAACACUAGAUAUUGGAGGAUUUGACCCCUUCAGUGUCGCAGCUAACGCGUUAAGUGUUCCGCCUGGGAAGUACGGUCGCAAGACUAAAACUCAAAUGAAAUUGACGG
This 589-nucleotide ribosomal RNA is filed under the name uncultured bacterium. Its description in RNAcentral is "bacterial SSU rRNA". It matches the Rfam family "Bacterial small subunit ribosomal RNA", at positions 338 to 916 of the family's 1533-position model. The record is from RNAcentral.